UCCGGCGUAGCUCAGCGGUAGAGCAGUUGACUGUUAAUCAAUUGGUCGUAG
Molecule: transfer RNA, 51 nt
Filed under: Thioclava pacifica DSM 10166
Lineage: Bacteria; Pseudomonadati; Pseudomonadota; Alphaproteobacteria; Rhodobacterales; Paracoccaceae
Rfam family: tRNA
About the family: Transfer RNA (tRNA) molecules are approximately 80 nucleotides in length. Their secondary structure includes four short double-helical elements and three loops (D, anti-codon, and T loops).
Source: Rfam by way of RNAcentral